GCCCCAUUUGUCUAAUGGUUAUGACGUCAGACUUCUACCGAUCUUUUAACGAAUCUGGAGGUUGCGGGUUCGAGUCCCGCAUGGGGUU
The sequence is a transfer RNA, 88 nucleotides long. It matches the Rfam family "tRNA". From Rfam's summary of the family: Transfer RNA (tRNA) molecules are approximately 80 nucleotides in length. The record is from Rfam.